ACCUAAACGAUUCUGUGAUUCUGUGAAUGUGACAACAUUGAAACAGCUCAUUUCUGUCUUUCUCUGCUGCAUUCUCUCAGGUGUUACAGACCAGCAGAAAAUGCUUGUGACCAGGGCAAUCCAGUGAAGCAAGCCAUUGCAAAGCCACCCCCCUGACAGAAGGAAGCAAGGCAAAGAGACAUCUGGAGGUGCCUUUUUCAGAGCAAGUUCUUCACAGCAUGGAGUUGUGUAUAUGUGAGCACUGCUUGGAUUUGAAAAGGGAACUGGAACUUGUCAUCAGGAGGCCUUAACCAGUCCUAAUAAGCCGGACAUGCGUAUUCCGUUUUGUCAACAAUGUCUAGCUGCUUCCCAGCCAAUAGCUACUCAAGCUUAGCACAGUCGAGAUAAGGAAAUAGCUUUAGUAUGUAAAAGGAGCCCUUAGGAUACACAGAGUGAGUCCCGCCUGGGUGUCCGACCUGUGCAUCCAGCAGCCUCCCAUCAGCAACCCCUCCACGUGGCUCCCAGGGCUCCCUGCGCAGUUUGGAGUGCAGAUCAGAAGAGGACAGCUGUGUGUUAAAAUCCAUUUCACAGAAUCACUGAGGUUGGAAGGCACCUCUGGAGAUCUUCUGGUCCAACCGCCCCCCCCUGCUCAGAGCAAGAUCAAGUAGAGCAGGUUGCUGAGGGCCUUGUCUGGUUGUGUUGUGAAUAGCUCCACAGAUGAUGACUGCACCACCUCUCUGGGCAACCUGGUCUAGUGUUUGAGAGUAAGGAAGAUUUUUUUUUUCCUUAUGUUUCAAUGUAAUUAUUUUUAUUUUGGCUUGUGCCCAGUGCUUCUCGUUCUGUCCCUGGGUGUUACUGAGAAGACCUUGGCUCUUGUCUUCUUUACACCCUCCCAUCAGUAUAUAUGCACCCUCUUUGCUGAGGUAUACAAUCCCAGCUCUCUCUGCCUUUCCUGAGGAUGUCAGAUGCUCCAAGCCCUGAACUGUCUUCAUGGCCCUUUGAUGGACUUGCUGCAUUCAAUCCAUGUGUUUCUGGUACUGGGGGAGCCCAGCAUGGAACACAGCACUGCAGAUGCGGCCUCACCAGUGCUGAGGACAGGAGGGAUCACCUCCCUUGACCUGCUUGCUGGCUGUGCUCUUCCAAAUGCAGCCCAGGAUGCUGUUGGCCGCCUUUGCCACAAGGGCACAUUGCUAGCUCAUGCUCAACUGGAUGUCUGCCAGGACCCCUCGGGUUCUUUUCUGCCAAGGUGCUUUCCAGCUGAUCGGCCCCCAACACGUACUUCCUCCACAUAUUCCUCCACAGGAGCAGGACUUGACAUUCCCCUCUGCUGAACUUCAUGAGGUUCUUGUUGGCCCUUUUCUCUAGCCUGUCAAGGUCCCCCUGAACGGCUGCACAACUGUCUGGUGUAUCAGCCACUCCUCCCAGUUUUGUAUCAUCUGCAAGUGUAGCUGAGGGUGCACUCCAUCUCAUCAUCCAGGUCAUAAUGCAGAUGUGAAACAGUAUUUUAGCUGGUAUUGACCCCCUGAGGUAUACCCCUAGUGACUGGCCUCCAGCUGGCUGCAACUCUUUGAUGCCAGCAGUUAAGCCAAUUUUCAGUCCACUUCCCUGUCCCUUAUCUAGUUCAUCCUUCAUCAGUGUCUAUGAGGAUGCCAUGGGGGACAGUGUUGGAAGCCUAACUAAAGUCAAGAUAAAUAAUACUCACUGCUCUCCCCUUAUCCACCGAGCUAGUCAAUUCAUCAUAGAAUUACCUUUCUUAUGCCUGUGCUGACUAUUUUACCUUUCUUUAUGUCCAUGCUGACUAUUCCCAAUGACCUUCUGGUCAAAAUUUGUGUGGAGAUGGCUUCUGGGAGGAUUUUCUCCAUCACUUUCUCGGGGAUCAAACUGAGGCUGACAGGCUUGUAGUUUUCCAGAUCCUCCUCCUUGCUAUUCUUGAGGAUAGGAGUGAUGUUUGCUUUCUUCCAGACCUCAGGAACCUCCUCCAAUUGCCGUGGCCUUUCAAAGAUGAUGGAGAGUGGCCUCACUAUGACGACAGCCAGCUCCUUCAACACUCGGACUUAUGCAUGUCCAACUUGUUUAAAUCUUUCUUAACCUUAUCUUUCUCCCCUGACCUUGCAGCAGAUAUCAGGAUGGUGCAAGUCUCCCAUAAGGAUGAGGGCCUGUAAGCAGGAGGCUUCUUCCAGUUGUCUGAAUUGAAUGUCACCUGCUGCUUCUUCCUGAUUGGGAGUUUUUAGCAGACACCCACCAUAAUGUUGGUUUGCCCCUAAUUCUGACCUGUAAGCUCUCAGGUGGAUGAUCUUUAGUCG
Molecule: non-coding RNA, 2282 nt
Organism: Struthio camelus australis
Lineage: Eukaryota; Metazoa; Chordata; Aves; Struthioniformes; Struthionidae
Source: RefSeq, a predicted model, not a curated record